UGCGUAGGCGGUUUACUAAGUCAGAUGUGAAAGCCCCGGGCUUAACCUGGGAACUGCAUUUGAUACUGGUAGGCUAGAGUAUGAUAGAGGGGGGUAGAAUUCCUGGUGUAGCGGUGAAAUGCGUAGAUAUCAGGAGGAAUACCAGUGGCGAAGGCGGCCCCCUGGAUCAAUACUGACGCUGAGGUACGAAAGCGUGGGUAGCGAACAGGAUUAGAUACCUGGUAGUCC
RNAcentral lists this ribosomal RNA (228 nucleotides) under uncultured bacterium. Its description in RNAcentral is "partial 16S ribosomal RNA". It matches the Rfam family "Bacterial small subunit ribosomal RNA", at positions 568 to 796 of the family's 1533-position model. The record is from RNAcentral.